Long non-coding RNA from Ictalurus furcatus (blue catfish), 814 nucleotides. RefSeq lists it as uncharacterized. The record is from RefSeq and is a predicted model, not a curated record. Lineage: Eukaryota; Metazoa; Chordata; Actinopteri; Siluriformes; Ictaluridae. The transcript has 4 exons.
UCUCCGCUCCGUCACGAUACGUGAAACUCAAGUCUGUAGAAGUUCAGUACCAUCGUUUUUGGUGGUGCCCGUGAAUAAAUUUUGUGAAUCUGCAUCAAAUGACCAACAAAGCAAUACUAACGUGACUGGAAUUUGUACUUUUUUGGUUUCUAUCAAUUAAGCAGAAUAUAGAUAUAAAUUUCCCCAAAGAGGAAAUGUUUCCACCAUGGGUGCCUAAAAAACAAACACAACACCGCCAUACAUAUUAACCAUCAAAAUAAAUAAAUAAAUAAAUCACAGACAGAGGGGAGAAGGGGACCCCAAAAAAAGAAAAAGAAAAAAAAAGGAAAACAAACCACACUCUAAAAAGAUUUUAAGUCCCCACCCCCUCCUCACUUAACAUGAGGACAAGUUCAGACAAAUAAGGCCGUGUGUUAGAGGGUCUUGCUGAGCAAAGCCAUACAAAGGAAAUUUCCAGAUAGUCUUCACUCUCUGCAAUUUGCUGUUUGGCCAAAAUGAGCUGCCUUUAGACUGGAUAGUUCUGUGAGAGGGGUUAAAGUAUAACAGAUUGACUAAUGUCACAACCAGCCCAUCUCCGAAUGAUACUUUCAGACCACGUUGUCCAGAAACUGACACUACCAUCUUGAAUACCUGGAACAGUUGGAGAACUUCAUUCCGUUGUUCGAGAUACAUUUGGGAAUUGUGGGGAUUUCUGUUUGCAUUACAAGGAUGCUGAUUUUGGCAAUGACUUUUUCUCCUUGCUUUCAACAACUGACACAAUGAAUAAGGACACUAUCAAGGUUGUGCGUAUCCAGGAACCCCCUACAGUAACUUU